ACGGUUUGCCGAGGACCUCCUCCUCCCAAUCCUCGGCGAAAAGAGGCCUGCACCUCCUCCCAAAUAGCAGGCUUCGAACUCACGGCGCUCGUCGGCACCUCCUCCCGCCGAUGAGCGCCGACA
This 123-nucleotide small RNA is filed under the name Fulvimarina manganoxydans. RNAcentral's name for it is "Rhizobiales bacterium 8.047 Alphaproteobacterial ar14". It matches the Rfam family "Alphaproteobacterial ar14". Rfam says of the family: Smr14C2 was renamed NfeR1 (Nodule Formation Efficiency RNA) highly expressed in salt stress and during the symbiotic interaction on legume roots. Lineage: Bacteria; Pseudomonadati; Pseudomonadota; Alphaproteobacteria; Hyphomicrobiales; Aurantimonadaceae. The record is from Rfam by way of RNAcentral.